ACUUUCAACAACGGAUCUCUUGGCUCUUGCAUCGAUGAAGAACGCAGCGAAAUGCGAUAAGUAAUGUGAAUUGCAGAAUCCAGUGAAUCAUCGAAUCUUUGAACGCACCUUGCGCCCUUUGGUAUUCCGAGGGGCAUGCCUGUUUGAGAGUC
RNAcentral lists this ribosomal RNA (152 nucleotides) under Agroathelia rolfsii. RNAcentral describes it as "Athelia rolfsii 5.8S ribosomal RNA". It matches the Rfam family "5.8S ribosomal RNA". From Rfam's summary of the family: 5.8S ribosomal RNA (5.8S rRNA) is a component of the large subunit of the eukaryotic ribosome. It is transcribed by RNA polymerase I as part of the 45S precursor that also contains 18S and 28S rRNA. Functionally, it is thought that 5.8S rRNA may be involved in ribosome translocation. Lineage: Eukaryota; Fungi; Basidiomycota; Agaricomycetes; Amylocorticiales; Amylocorticiaceae. The record is from RNAcentral.